CAGUCGCCGCGGUAAUACAGAGGGUGCGAGCGUUAAUCGGAUUUACUGGGCGUAAAGCGUGCGUAGGCGGCUUCUUAAGUCGGAUGUGAAAUCCCCGAGCUUAACUUGGGAAUUGCAUUCGAUACUGGUUAGCUAGAGUGUGGGAGAGGAUGGUAGAAUUCCAGGUGUAGCGGUGAAAUGCGUAGAGAUCUGGAGGAAUACCGAUGGCGAAGGCAGCCAUCUGGCCUAACACUGACGCUGAGGUACGAAAGCAUGGGGAGCAAACAGGAUUAGAUACCCCUGUAGUCCCUGUCUCUUAUAC
RNAcentral lists this ribosomal RNA (301 nucleotides) under uncultured bacterium. Its description in RNAcentral is "partial 16S ribosomal RNA". It matches the Rfam family "Bacterial small subunit ribosomal RNA", at positions 509 to 807 of the family's 1533-position model. The record is from RNAcentral.